GUCAAUAACCCUCCACUUAGCCCGACGGCUUGAAGUGGGGGCUUGUGAAAACAAGCUCAGAUUGACUAGCUUAAGUGCUAUGCGCACUACGUUAAGAGAGAAUAUAUAGUUACCCGUGGGCGUAUUACCUAACCUGCGGCUCUA
This 144-nucleotide small RNA is filed under the name uncultured Hungatella sp. Its description in RNAcentral is "HNH endonuclease-associated RNA and ORF (HEARO) RNA". It matches the Rfam family "HNH endonuclease-associated RNA and ORF (HEARO) RNA", at positions 1 to 127 of the family's 211-position model. Lineage: Bacteria; Bacillati; Bacillota; Clostridia; Lachnospirales; Lachnospiraceae. The record is from RNAcentral.